RNAcentral lists this ribosomal RNA (466 nucleotides) under Vreelandella stevensii. RNAcentral describes it as "partial 16S ribosomal RNA". It matches the Rfam family "Bacterial small subunit ribosomal RNA", at positions 338 to 796 of the family's 1533-position model. Lineage: Bacteria; Pseudomonadati; Pseudomonadota; Gammaproteobacteria; Oceanospirillales; Halomonadaceae. The record is from RNAcentral.
CCUACGGGUGGCUGCAGUGGGGAAUAUUGGACAAUGGGGGGAACCCUGAUCCAGCCAUGCCGCGUGUGUGAAGAAGGCCCUCGGGUUGUAAAGCACUUUCAGUGAGGAAGAACGCCUGGUGGUUAAUACCCAUCAGGAAAGACAUCACUCACAGAAGAAGCACCGGCUAACUCCGUGCCAGCAGCCGCGGUAAUACGGAGGGUGCGAGCGUUAAUCGGAAUUACUGGGCGUAAAGCGCGCGUAGGUGGCUUGAUAAGCCGGUUGUGAAAGCCCCGGGCUCAACCUGGGAACGGCAUCCGGAACUGUCAAGCUAGAGUGCAGGAGAGGGAGGUAGAAUUCCCGGUGGAGCGGUGAAAUGCGUAGAGAUCGGGAGGAAUACCAGUGGCGAAGGCGGCCUUCUGGACUGACACUGACACUGGGGUGCGAAAGCGUGGGUAGCAAACAGGAUUAGAUACCCCGGUAGUCC